RNAcentral lists this ribosomal RNA (467 nucleotides) under uncultured bacterium. RNAcentral's name for it is "partial 16S ribosomal RNA". It matches the Rfam family "Bacterial small subunit ribosomal RNA", at positions 28 to 506 of the family's 1533-position model. The record is from RNAcentral.
GACGAACGCUGGCGGCGUGCUUAACACAUGCAAGUCGAACGGAAAGGCCCUGCUUUUGUGGGGUGCUCGAGUGGCGAACGGGUGAGUAACACGUGAGUAACCUGCCCUUGACUUUGGGAUAACUUCAGGAAACUGGGGCUAAUACCGGAUAGGAGCUCCUGCUGCAUGGUGGGGGUUGGAAAGUUUCGGCGGUUGGGGAUGGACUCGCGGCUUAUCAGCUUGUUGGUGGGGUAGUGGCUUACCAAGGCUUUGACGGGUAGCCGGCCUGAGAGGGUGACCGGCCACAUUGGGACUGAGAGACGGCCCAGACUCCUACGGGAGGCAGCAGUGGGGAAUAUUGCACAAUGGGCGGAAGCCUGAUGCAGCAACGCCGCGUGCGGGAUGACGGCCUUCGGGUGGUAAACCGCUUUCGCCUGUGACGAAGCGUGAGUGACGGUAAUGGGUAAAGAAGCACCGGCUAACUACAU